CCUACGGGGGGCUGCAGUAAGGAAUAUUGGUCAAUGGAGGAAACUCUGAACCAGCCAUCCCGCGUGAAGGAUGAAGGGGCUCUGCCUUGUAAACUUCUUUUGUCUGGGGCGAAAAAGCUCGAUUUAUCGAGAACUGACGGUACCAGACGAAUAAGCACCGGCUAACUCCGUGCCAGCAGCCGCGGUAAUACGGAGGGUGCAGGCGUUAUCGGGUAUCAAGGGGUUUAAGGGGUGCGAGUAAGUCUGAGGAGAAAGGCUGUGGCUGAACCAUGGAAUUGCCAUUGAGACUGCAGAGCUUGAAUGAGGUUGAGGUUGGCGGAAUGUGACAUGUAGCGGUGAAAUGCUUAGAUAUGUCAUGGAACACCGAUUGCGAAGGCAGCUGACUGGACCUAUAUUGACGCUGAGGCACGAAAGCGUGGGGAGCGAACAGGAUUAGAUACCCUUGUAGUC
RNAcentral lists this ribosomal RNA (450 nucleotides) under uncultured bacterium. RNAcentral's name for it is "partial 16S ribosomal RNA". It matches the Rfam family "Bacterial small subunit ribosomal RNA", at positions 338 to 795 of the family's 1533-position model. The record is from RNAcentral.